Molecule: ribosomal RNA, 477 nt
Filed under: uncultured organism
Description: partial 16S ribosomal RNA
Rfam family: Bacterial small subunit ribosomal RNA
Source: RNAcentral
GUACACUCCUGCGGGAGGCAGCAGUGGGGAAUAUUGCACAAUGGGCGCAAGCCUGAUGCAGCCAUGCCGCGUGUAUGAAGAAGGCCUUCGGGUUGUAAAGUACUUUCAGCGGGGAGGAAGGCAAUACGGUUAAUAACCGUGUUGAUUGACGUUACCCGCAGAAGAAGCACCGGCUAACUCCGUGCCAGCAGCCGCGGUAAUACGGAGGGUGCAAGCGUUAAUCGGAAUUACUGGGCGUAAAGCGCACGCAGGCGGUCUGUCAAGUCGGAUGUGAAAUCCCCGGGCUCAACCUGGGAACUGCAUUCGAAACUGGCAGGCUUGAGUCUUGUAGAGGGGGGUAGAAUUCCAGGUGUAGCGGUGAAAUGCGUAGAGAUCUGGAGGAAUACCGGUGGCGAAGGCGGCCCCCUGGACAAAGACUGACGCUCAGGUGCGAAAGCGUGGGGAGCAAACAGGAUUAGAAACCCCUGUAGUCCCAUG